AUUGAACGCUGGCGGCAGGCCUAACACAUGCAAGUCGAGCGGCAGCGGAAGGAAGCUUGCUUUCUUGCCGGCGAGCGGCGGACGGGUGAGUAAGGUAUGGGGAUCUGGCCGAAGGCGGGGGAUAACCACUGGAAACGGUGGCUAAUACCGCAUAAUCUCUAAGGAGCAAAGUGGGGGACCGUUCAGGCCUCACACCUUCGGAUGAACCCAUAUGAGAUUAGCUAGUAGGUGGGGUAAUGGCUCACCUAGGCGACGAUCUCUAGCUGGUCUGAGAGGAGGAUCAGCCACACUGGGACUGAGACACGGCCCAGACUCCUACGGGAGGCAGCAGUGGGGAAUAUUGCACAAUGGGCGCAAGCCUGAUGCAGCCAUGUCGCGUGUAUGAAGAAGGCCUUCGGGUUGUAAAGUACUUUCAGUCGUGAGGAAGGUGUUAAGGUUAAUAACCUUAGCAAUUGACGUUAGCGACAGAAGAAGCACCGGCUAACUCCGUGCCAGCCGCCGCCGUAA
RNAcentral lists this ribosomal RNA (507 nucleotides) under uncultured bacterium. RNAcentral's name for it is "partial 16S ribosomal RNA". It matches the Rfam family "Bacterial small subunit ribosomal RNA", at positions 30 to 523 of the family's 1533-position model. The record is from RNAcentral.